UGGGGAAUAUUGCACAAUGGGGGAAACCCUGAUGCAGCGACGCCGCGUGAACGAAGAAGGUAUUCGUAUCGUAAAGUUCUGUCCUAUGGGAAGAUAAUGACAGUACAAUAGAAGAAAGCUCCGGCUAAAUACGUGCCAGCAGCAGCGGUAAUACGUAUGGAGCGAGCGUUGUCCGGAAUUAUUGGGCGUAAAGGGUACGCAGGCGGUUUAAUAAGUCGAAUGUUAAAGAUCGGGGCUCAACCCCGUAAAGCAUUGGAAACUGAUAAGCUUGAGUAGUGGAGAGGAAAGUGGAAUUCCUAGUGUAGUGGUGAAAUACGUAGAUAUUAGGAGGAAUACCAGUAGCGAAGGCGACUUUCUGGACACAAACUGACGCUGAGGUACGAAAGCGUGGGGAGCAAACAGG
Molecule: ribosomal RNA, 403 nt
Filed under: bacterium
Lineage: Bacteria
Description: partial 16S ribosomal RNA
Rfam family: Bacterial small subunit ribosomal RNA
Source: RNAcentral